Molecule: ribosomal RNA, 420 nt
Filed under: uncultured bacterium
Lineage: Bacteria
Description: partial 16S ribosomal RNA
Rfam family: Bacterial small subunit ribosomal RNA
Source: RNAcentral
AAUCUUCCGCAAUGGACGAAAGUCUGACGGCGCAACGCUGCGUGAGUGAUGAAGAUCUUCGGAUCGUAAAAACCUGUUUUCAGGGAAGAACAAGUAUCGUUCGAUUAGGGCGGUACCUCGACGGUAUCUAACCAGCAAGCCACGGCUCACUACGUGCCAGCAGCCGCGGUAAUACGUAGGUGGCAAGCGUUAUCUGGAAUUAUUGGGCGUAAGGGGCGCGCAGGCGAUUUCUUAAGUCUGAUGUUAAAGCCCACGGCUCAACCGGGGAGGGUCAUUGGAAACUGGGAAGCUUGAGUGCAGAAGAGGAGAGUGGAAUUCCAUGUGUAGCGGUGAAAUGCGUAGAGAUAUGGAGGAACACCAGUGGCGAAGGCGACUCUCUGGUCUGCAACUGACGCUGAGGCGCGAAAGCGUGGGGAGCGA